CCCGGCGACCGGCGCACGGGUGAGUAACACGUAUGCAACCUGGCCGCCACAGGGGGAUAACCCGCGGAAACGCGGCCUAAUACCCCGUGACGCCACCGGAGGGCAUCCUCCGGUGGCCAAAGGAGCGAUCCGGUGGUGGAUGGGCAUGCGGCGCAUUAGCUAGACGGCGGGGUGACGGCCCACCGUGGCGACGAUGCGUAGGGGUUCUGAGAGGAAGGCCCCCCACCACUGGGACUGAGACACGGCCCAGACUCCUACGGAAGGCAGCAG
This 270-nucleotide ribosomal RNA is filed under the name uncultured bacterium. Its description in RNAcentral is "partial 16S ribosomal RNA". It matches the Rfam family "Bacterial small subunit ribosomal RNA", at positions 87 to 354 of the family's 1533-position model. The record is from RNAcentral.